AGACUUUGAUCCUGGCUCAGAUUGAACGCUGGCGGAAUGCUUUACACAUGCAAGUCGAACGGCAGCACGGGAGCUUGCUCCUGGUGGCGAGUGGCGAACGGGUGAGUAAUGCGUCGGAACGUACCGAGUAAUGGGGGAUAACGCGGCGAAAGCUGUGCUAAUACCGCAUACGAUCUCAGGAUGAAAGCAGGGGACCGCAAGGCCUUGCGCUCACGGAGCGGCCGAUGGCAGAUUAGGUAGUUGGUGGGAUAAAAGCUUACCAAGCCGACGAUCUGUAGCUGGUCUGAGAGGACGACCAGCCACACUGGGACUGAGACACGGCCCAGACUCCUACGGGAGGCAGCAGUGGGGAAUUUUGGACAAUGGGGGCAACCCUGAUCCAGCCAUUCCGCGUGAGUGAAGAAGGCCUUCGGGUUGUAAAGCUCUUUCAGCUGGAACGAAACGGUACGCUCUAACAUAGCGUGCUAAUGACGGUACCAGCAGAAGAAGCACCGGCUAACUACGUGCCAGCAGCCGCGGUAAUACGUAGGGUGCGAGCGUUAAUCGGAAUUACUGGGCGUAAAGCGUGCGCAGGCGGAUUGUUAAGCAAGAUGUGAAAUCCCCGGGCUUAACCUGGGAAUGGCAUUUUGAACUGGUAGUCUAGAGUGCGUCAGA
Molecule: ribosomal RNA, 654 nt
Filed under: uncultured bacterium
Lineage: Bacteria
Description: bacterial SSU rRNA
Rfam family: Bacterial small subunit ribosomal RNA
Source: RNAcentral